GAAUUCACUAGUGAUUCAGGCCUAACACAUGCAAGUCGAACGCUUUUGUUUCACCGGGUGCUUGCACCCACCGAGACAAAAGAGUGGCGGACGGGUGAGUAACACGUGGGUAACCUGCCCAUAAGAGGGGGAUAACAUCCGGAAACGGAUGCUAAUACCGCAUAUUUCCAAUUGUCUCCUGACAGAUGGAAAAAAGGUGGCUUCGGCUACCGCUUAUGGAUGGACCCGCGGCGUAUUAGCUAGUUGGUGAGGUAAUGGCUCACCAAGGCGAUGAUACGUAGCCGACCUGAGAGGGUGAUCGGCCACACUGGGACUGAGACACGGCCCAGACUCCUACGGGAGGCAGCAGUAGGGAAUCUUCCGCAAUGGACGAAAAUCUGA
Molecule: ribosomal RNA, 381 nt
Filed under: uncultured bacterium
Lineage: Bacteria
Description: bacterial SSU rRNA
Rfam family: Bacterial small subunit ribosomal RNA
Source: RNAcentral